UACGAAGGGGGCUAGCGUUGCUCGGAAUCACUGGGCGUAAAGGGUGCGUAGGCGGGUCUUUAAGUCAGAGGUGAAAUCCUGGAGCUCAACUCCAGAACUGCCUUUGAUACUGGAGGAUCUUGAGUUCGGGAGAGGUGAGUGGAACUGCGAGUGUAGAGGUGAAAGUUCGUGAGAUAUCGGGAGGAACACCGGUGGCGAAGGCGGCGAUCUGGGUCGAUACUGACGCGUGAGGUGGCGAAA
This 240-nucleotide ribosomal RNA is filed under the name uncultured bacterium. Its description in RNAcentral is "partial 16S ribosomal RNA". It matches the Rfam family "Bacterial small subunit ribosomal RNA", at positions 524 to 758 of the family's 1533-position model. The record is from RNAcentral.